AGUGAACGCUGGCGGUAGGCCUAACACAUGCAAGUCGAACGGCAGCACAGUAAGAGCUUGCUCUUACGGGUGGCGAGUGGCGGACGGGUGAGGAAUACAUCGGAAUCUACUUUUUCGUGGGGGAUAACGUAGGGAAACUUACGCUAAUACCGCAUACGACCUACGGGUGAAAGCAGGGGAUCUUCGGACCUUGCGCGAUUGAAUGAGCCGAUGUCGGAUUAGCUAGUUGGCGGGGUAAAGGCCCACCAAGGCGACGAUCCGUAGCUGGUCUGAGAGGAUGAUCGGCCACACUGGAACUGAGACACGGUCCAGACUCCUACGGGAGGCAGCAGUAGGGAAUAUUGGACAAUGGGCGCAAGCCUGAUCCAGCCAUACCGCGUGGGUGAAGAAGGCCUUCGGGUUGUAAAGCCCUUUUGUUGGGAAAGAACAGCAGCAGGUUAAUACCCCGCUGUUCUGACGGUACCCAAAGAAUAAGCACCGGCUAACUUCGUG
Molecule: ribosomal RNA, 492 nt
Filed under: uncultured bacterium
Lineage: Bacteria
Description: partial 16S ribosomal RNA
Rfam family: Bacterial small subunit ribosomal RNA
Source: RNAcentral